ACACCGGCAGCCCAAGUGGUGGCCAUUUUUAUUGGGCCUAAAGCGUUCGUAGCCGGCCUGAUAAGUCUCUGGUGAAAUCCCGCAGCUUAACUGUGGGAAUUGCUGGAGAUACUAUCAGGCUUGAGGUCGGGAGAGGUUAGAGGUACUCCCAGGGUAGGGGUGAAAUCCUAUAAUCCUGGGAGGACCACCUGUGGUGAAGGCGUCUAACUGGAACGAACCUGACGGUGAGUAACGAAAGCCAGGGGCGCGAACCGGAUUAGAUACGAGGGUAGUCCUGGCAGUAAACGAUGUGGACUUGGUGUUGGGAUGGCCUCGAGCUGCCGCAGUGCCGAAGGGAAGCUGUUAAGUCCACCGCCUGGGAAGUACGGUCGCAAGACUGAA
This 381-nucleotide ribosomal RNA is filed under the name uncultured archaeon. RNAcentral describes it as "bacterial SSU rRNA". It matches the Rfam family "Archaeal small subunit ribosomal RNA", at positions 473 to 853 of the family's 1478-position model. The record is from RNAcentral.